This 69-nucleotide transfer RNA is filed under the name Ictidomys tridecemlineatus (thirteen-lined ground squirrel). RNAcentral describes it as "Spermophilus tridecemlineatus (thirteen-lined ground squirrel) tRNA". It matches the Rfam family "tRNA". Rfam says of the family: Transfer RNA (tRNA) molecules are approximately 80 nucleotides in length. The record is from Rfam by way of RNAcentral. Lineage: Eukaryota; Metazoa; Chordata; Mammalia; Rodentia; Sciuridae.
GGGGCUGUGGCUCAGCGGUAGAGUGCUCACCUAGCACGUGUGAGGGCCCAGGUUCGAUCCUCAGCACCA